CCAGAGAUGGAUUGGUGCCUUCGGGAACUGUGAGACAGGUGCUGCAUGGCUGUCGUCAGCUCGUGUUGUGAAAUGUUGGGUUAAGUCCCGCAACGAGCGCAACCCUUAUCCUUUGUUGCCAGCGAUUAGGUCGGGAACUCAAAGGAGACUGCCAGUGAUAAACUGGAGGAAGGUGGGGAUGACGUCAAGUCAUCAUGGCCCUUACGACCAGGGCUACACACGUGCUACAAUGGCGCAUACAAAGAGAAGCGACCUCGCGAGAGCAAGCGGACCUCAUAAAGUGCGUCGUAGUCCGGAUUGGAGUCUGCAACUCGACUCCAUGAAGUCGGAAUCGCUAGUAAUCGUGGAUCAGAAUGCCACGGUGAAUACGUUCCCGGGCCUUGUACACACCGCCCGUCACACCAUGGGAGUGGGUUGCAAAAGAAGUAGGUAGCUUAACCUUCGGGAGGGCGCUUACCACUUUGUGAUUCAUGACUGGGGUGAAGUCGUAACAAGGUAACCGUAGGGGAACCUGCGGUUGGA
Molecule: ribosomal RNA, 522 nt
Filed under: Salmonella enterica
Lineage: Bacteria; Pseudomonadati; Pseudomonadota; Gammaproteobacteria; Enterobacterales; Enterobacteriaceae
Also listed under: 2 other names
Description: bacterial SSU rRNA
Rfam family: Bacterial small subunit ribosomal RNA
Source: RNAcentral